This is a non-coding RNA of Dermacentor andersoni, 648 nucleotides long. The record is from RefSeq and is a predicted model, not a curated record. NCBI's taxonomy places the organism in Eukaryota, Metazoa, Arthropoda, Arachnida, Ixodida, Ixodidae.
GUAGACUAUACAGGGAAAGAUGCUAACUUGCAAAUGAGUUUAUUCAGAGGAAACAGACCAUCAGGAGCGAUUUGUGCAUGCGCUGACAUCGAAUUAUAGACCAGAACACGCUAGCCUCGCACCCAGGCUAAUCGAACGCAUACUCUCGCACCCGGAUCGCCCGGUCGACCAGCGCCAUUUUGUUCUGGGCUGCCAAAGCGUGUUCGCCGGCGACCAGCAGACAUGGCUAGCGCUAGCUCUAGGACUCCAAAGUGCGGAAAUGUGCCCGUUCACGCGAAUCCAAAGUACAAGAAGUCAUCUGGGCAUCGUUGCGUCGUGUUUGGAUGCCAAAAUAACCAGCGGAAAAGGAGCAGGUUGCUUAGCGCUGUUUGCGAAGAGCACAAUACACGUAGGGAAUCGUGCCGGUGCGGUGUUUUCAGCCUGCACCGAUUUCCAUCCGCAACGAAGAAUGACAAGCUGCGCCACCGGUGGAUAGCUGCAGUGAAUAGGAAGAACUACCAACCCAGUGAAAAUGCACGAGUUUGCUCCGAGCACUUUCUGGACAAGCCCACAGAGCAGGAUCCCGCGCCGGUGCUUCGCCUUGGCUAUAACAAGAAGGCAAGCCUUUUCGUGUUUUCAUUCAGGCAGAGCUCCCGACGGUUAAGCAGA